RNAcentral lists this long non-coding RNA (207 nucleotides) under Mytilus galloprovincialis (Mediterranean mussel). The record is from RNAcentral. Lineage: Eukaryota; Metazoa; Mollusca; Bivalvia; Mytilida; Mytilidae.
UGUUCAUAAAAUGGAAAAAAAGGCUGAAAUUGCACUCAAUAUUUAUAUUCAAUAUGAAUAUUUACAUGUUGUCUAUCAAGACAUCAAAAAGUUUUACAUGUGCAUCGGAAAAUCAUGUUUAUAUCAUCACUUGCAGUGGUUGUUGAGAAAAUUAUAUUGGACAAACCAGCAACACCAUUAGAAAAAUGAAUUAUAGUACAUACACAG